Molecule: long non-coding RNA, 592 nt
Filed under: Jatropha curcas
Lineage: Eukaryota; Viridiplantae; Streptophyta; Magnoliopsida; Malpighiales; Euphorbiaceae
Description: long non-coding RNA (JCUR_LNC000734)
Source: RNAcentral
AGUCUAAUCAUCAAUAGCCAUUUAUUUAUUGCAAGGGACAUAUAAAUCUCUUACAAAAUUAAAAUGAUAGUAGUUACAAAUUAUUCAGUAACGAAAAAGAAAAUAAAAAAAUUAUUAUUAAGAAUAAAACUUUUUCAAAACUCUUCUCUCGGUUUUGAUUUUUCGAUACGGGUUGAAGCGUUUGGUUUCAGUGGAGGUCUUUGGCUUCUUUGGUCUGAUAGGGGUUUUACAACUGUUGUCAUUCAUACUCAUGCUCAAUUCAUGGUUUGUAGAGUUGCACCUGGGCCUAGUACGCCAUGGAAUAUAGUUUUUGUUUAUGGCAGUCUCUCGUUAAACAAGUACUCUUGCAAUUAACAAGGAGAAUCUAGCAAAGAACAUGCAAUCACGGAAGUACCCGUCAAUCCCUAAAUCCCCAAGUACUCUUGAAAAGAGAAAGAAAGGAAGUUAGAACAAGAAAACAGAAACUUACCUUCAAGUACUCUUGAAAACAAAUCUGGGAUUCUUGAUGCAAUUAAUCUUGUAGAACUCACAAGCUCAAUUACUAAUGAAUGGAAAAUGGUUGCUUUCAUUCAAAGAAGAAAACUCAUAUAUA